GUUUGAUCAUGGCUCAGAUUGAACGCUGGCGGCAGGCCUAACACAUGCAAGUCGAACGGUAACAGGAAGCAGCUUGCUGCUUCGCUGACGAGUGGCGGACGGGUGAGUAAUGUCUGGGAAACUGCCUGAUGGAGGGGGAUAACUACUGGAAACGGUGGCUAAUACCGCAUAACGUCGCAAGACCAAAGAGGGGGACCUUCGGGCCUCUUGCCAUCAGAUGUGCCCAGAUGGGAUUAGCUAGUUGGUGAGGUAACGGCUCACCAAGGCGACGAUCCCUAGCUGGUCUGAGAGGAUGACCAGCCACACUGGAACUGAGACACGGUCCAGACUCCUACGGGAGGCAGCAGUGGGGAAUAUUGCACAAUGGGCGCAAGCCUGAUGCAGCCAUGCCGCGUGUAUGAAGAAGGCCUUCGGGUUGUAAAGUACUUUCAGCGGGGAGGAAGGUGUUGUGGUUAAUAACCGCAGCAAUUGACGUUACCCGCAGAAGAAGCACCGGCUAACUCCGUGCCAGCAGCCGCGGUAAUACGGAGGGUGCAAGCGUUAAUCGGAAUUACUGGGCGUAAAGCGCACGCAGGCGGUCUGUCAAGUCGGAUGUGAAAUCCCCGGGCUCAACCUGGGAACUGCAUUCGAAACUGGCAGGCUUGAGUCUUGUAG
Molecule: ribosomal RNA, 654 nt
Filed under: Salmonella enterica
Lineage: Bacteria; Pseudomonadati; Pseudomonadota; Gammaproteobacteria; Enterobacterales; Enterobacteriaceae
Description: bacterial SSU rRNA
Rfam family: Bacterial small subunit ribosomal RNA
Source: RNAcentral